CCCUUAGAUGUCCUGGGCCGCACGCGCGCUACACUGACAUGUUCAACAAGUUUCUCCUAGUUCGACAGGACUGUGAAAUCUUUGAACGCAUGUCGUGAUAGGGAUAGAUCAUUGCAAUUAUUGAUCUUGAACGAGGAAUUCCUAGUAAACGCGAGUCAUCAGCCCGCAUUGAUUACGUCCCUGCCCUUUGUACACACCGCCCGUCGCACCUACCGAUUGAAUGUUUCGGUGAAGAUUCCGGAUAGGACUGAUUUGAUUUAUUUCAUUUCUGACCUAAAAGCUAUCUAAACCUCAACAUUUAGAGGAAGGUGAAGUCGUAACA
Molecule: ribosomal RNA, 322 nt
Filed under: uncultured eukaryote
Lineage: Eukaryota
Description: partial 18S ribosomal RNA
Rfam family: Eukaryotic small subunit ribosomal RNA
Source: RNAcentral